Molecule: ribosomal RNA, 257 nt
Filed under: uncultured bacterium
Lineage: Bacteria
Description: partial 16S ribosomal RNA
Rfam family: Bacterial small subunit ribosomal RNA
Source: RNAcentral
CGGCACAGAGGGAAGCCAGGUGGCGACACCGCGCGGAACCCGAACGCCGUUCUCAGUUCGGAUCGGAGUCUGCAACCCGACUCCGUGAAGCUGGAUUCGCUAGUAAUCGCGCAUCAGCCAUGGCGCGGUGAAUACGUUCCCGGGCCUUGUACACACCGCCCGUCAAGCCAUGGGAGCCGGGGGUGCUUGAAGUGCGUCGCCGCAAGGCGCGCCCUAGAGCAAAACCGGUGACUGGGGCUAAGUCGUAACAAGGUAAC